RNAcentral lists this ribosomal RNA (450 nucleotides) under uncultured bacterium. RNAcentral describes it as "partial 16S ribosomal RNA". It matches the Rfam family "Bacterial small subunit ribosomal RNA", at positions 354 to 796 of the family's 1533-position model. The record is from RNAcentral.
GUGGGGAAUAUUGGACAAUGGGCGAAAGCCUGAUCCAGCCAUGCCGCGUGUGUGAAGAAGGUCUUCGGAUUGUAAAGCACUUUAAGUUGGGAGGAAGGGCAGUAAGUUAAUACCUUGCUGUUUUGACGUUACCGACAGAAUAAGCACCGGCUAACUUCGUGUCAGCAGCCGCGGUAAUACGAAGGGUGCAAGCGUUAAUCGGAAUUACUGGGCGUAAAGCGCGCGUAGGUGGUUUUGUAAGUUGGAGGUGAAAUCCCCGGGCUCAACCUGGGAACUGCCUCCAAAACUGCAUGACUAGAGUACGGUAGAGGGUAGUGGAAUUUCCUGUGUAGCGGUGAAAUGCGUAGAUAUAGGAAGGAACACCAGUGGCGAAGGCGACUACCUGGACUGAUACUGACACUGAGGUGCGAAAGCGUGGGGAGCAAACAGGAUUAGAUACCCCGGUAGUCC